UAAAUUGUCAAGGGCUUUAAA
RNAcentral lists this non-coding RNA (21 nucleotides) under Caenorhabditis elegans. The record is from RNAcentral. Lineage: Eukaryota; Metazoa; Nematoda; Chromadorea; Rhabditida; Rhabditidae.